GCCUUCUUAGCUCAGUGGUAGAGCGUUGGUCUCGUAAGAUAAUCAAACAGAUUAACAGAUAACCAAAGGUCGAGAGUUCAAUCCUCUCAGGAGGCA
RNAcentral lists this transfer RNA (96 nucleotides) under Daphnia pulex (common water flea). It matches the Rfam family "tRNA". From Rfam's summary of the family: Transfer RNA (tRNA) molecules are approximately 80 nucleotides in length. Their secondary structure includes four short double-helical elements and three loops (D, anti-codon, and T loops). Lineage: Eukaryota; Metazoa; Arthropoda; Branchiopoda; Diplostraca; Daphniidae. The record is from Rfam by way of RNAcentral.